This 1153-nucleotide small RNA is filed under the name Pongo abelii (Sumatran orangutan). RNAcentral describes it as "processed transcript". The record is from RNAcentral. Lineage: Eukaryota; Metazoa; Chordata; Mammalia; Primates; Hominidae.
AAGGAGCCCCCUGACCCCUUCCUUAAAACAGAUCCUUUUGUCUUUGUCUUCAUUUCUGCGUUUAUCCUCCUUCGUUCAGUCUCAAACCAACAGCCACAAGUGGUGCCCGAUCAGGGACAUGAAGGAAGAAGGUCUGCUGGAGCAGAGAAACUGAAACUGACCAGACGAACGAGAAACCCCGGGACAAAUCUGCUGGCAGAGGAUAUAAGGGUGCGCAGGUCCCAAACCAGCCCUCAUCUCCUGGUUGGAACGAAACACCGAUGACUGGGAACCGGCUGCUCUAGAUCCGCAGGAGUACCCGAGAGGGCUAACAGUCCGGAGAAAAAGCAGAACCAGAAAGAAGAAUGGGGAGAAGGAAGUAUUUCCGCCUAAGGAGGCACCCCGAAAGGGGAAGCGAGGCCGGAGGCCCAGCAAACCCCGACUGAUUCCCAGGCAGACGUCUGGGGGCCCCAUCUGCCCUGACUGCGGCUGUACCUUCCCUGAUCAUCAGGCCCUGGAGAGCCACAAGUGCGCCCAAAAUCUAAAAAAGCCUUACCCUUGCCCAGACUGUGGGCGCCGCUUUUCCUAUCCAUCCCUGCUGGUCAGUCACCGGCGGGCACACUCCGGCGAGUGCCCCUAUGUUUGUGACCAGUGUGGCAAACGUUUCUCCCAGCGUAAGAACCUCUCCCAGCACCAGGUUAUCCAUACAGGUGAGAAGCCCUACCACUGCCCUGACUGUGGUCGCUGCUUCCGGAGGAGCCGGUCCUUGGCCAAUCACCGGACCACACACACAGGCGAAAAACCCCACCAGUGCCCUAGCUGCGGACGUCGCUUCGCCUACCCCUCCCUGCUAGCCAUCCACCAGCGUACACACACGGGAGAGAAGCCCUACACCUGCCUCGAGUGCAACCGCCGCUUCCGCCAGCGCACGGCCCUCGUCAUCCACCAGCGCAUCCACACGGGCGAGAAGCCCUACCCGUGCCCGGACUGCGAGCGGCGCUUCUCCUCCUCCUCUCGCCUGGUCAGUCACCGGCGUGUGCACUCCGGGGAGCGUCCCUAUGCCUGCGAGCACUGUGAGGCCCGCUUCUCCCAGCGCAGCACGCUGCUCCAGCACCAGCUCUUGCACACCGGAGAGAAGCCCUACCCCUGCCCAGACUGUGGGCGUGCCUUCCGG